AUUGGAGGAACUAUAUCUUUCAAUAUUAUGGGGCAUUAAGAGUCUUUCUCCCAUGUUGGAUGAGUCAUUGAAUAAACUUAAAAUUUUGAAGGUUGACAACUGUAUACAUCUCAUGUAUAUUCCACCUCUCAAAUUACCUUCAUUGGAGGAACUCAAUCUUAAAGCUUUAUUCAAUAUUGAGAGUCUUUCUCCCAUGUUGAAUGAGUCAUUGGAUAAACUUAAAAUUUUGAAGGUCUUAGGUUGUCGUCAUCUCAAAUAUAUUCCACCUCUCAAAUUACCUUCAUUGGAGGAACUCAAUCUUCAAGGUUUAUCCCGUAUUGAGAGUCUUUCUCCCAUGUUGAAUGAGACAUUGGAUAAACUUAAAAUUUUGACGGUCUUGGGUUGUCGUUGUCUCAAAUAUAUUCCACCUCUCAAAUUACCUUCAUUGGAGGAACUCUAUCUUAUAGAAUUAUGGAGCAUUAAGAGCCUUCCUCCCAUGUUGGAUGAGUCAUUGGAUAAACUUAAAAUUUUGAGGUUCAUUUAUUGUCAAGAGAUCGAAACGGUUCCACCUCUCAAAUUAGCUU
This 563-nucleotide long non-coding RNA is filed under the name Medicago truncatula (barrel medic). RNAcentral's name for it is "long non-coding RNA (MTRU_LNC004441)". The record is from RNAcentral. Lineage: Eukaryota; Viridiplantae; Streptophyta; Magnoliopsida; Fabales; Fabaceae.